This 460-nucleotide ribosomal RNA is filed under the name uncultured Bacteroidota bacterium. RNAcentral's name for it is "uncultured Bacteroidetes bacterium partial 16S ribosomal RNA". Lineage: Bacteria; Pseudomonadati; Bacteroidota. The record is from RNAcentral.
GACUACAGGGGUAUCUAAUCCUGUUCGCUCCCCACGCUUUCGUGCAUCAGCGUCAGUAACAGUUUAGUAAGCUGCCUUCGCAAUCGGUGUUCUGUGUAAUAUCUAAGCAUUUCACCGCUACACUACACAUUCCGCUUACCUCAACUGUACUCAAGCUUGUCAGUAUCAAUGGCAAUUUUACCGUUAAGCGGCAAGAUUUCACCACUGACUUAAAAAGCCGCCUACGCACCCUUUAAACCCAAUGAAUCCGGAUAACGCUUGCAUCCUCCGUAUUACCGCGGCUGCUGGCACGGAGUUAGCCGAUGCUUAUUCAUACACUACCGUCAGACCAGGACUCGUCCUGUUUUUUCUUGGUGUAUAAAAGCAGUUUACAACCCAUAGGGCCGUCAUCCUGCACGCGGGAUGGCUGGUUCAGGCUUGCGCCCAUUGACCAAUAUUCCUCACUGCUGCCCCCCGUAGG